This 114-nucleotide ribosomal RNA is filed under the name Acanthosepion pharaonis. Lineage: Eukaryota; Metazoa; Mollusca; Cephalopoda; Sepiida; Sepiidae. The record is from RNAcentral.
UUAUGGCCAUAUCAUGUUGAAACACCAGUUCUCAUAUGGUCACCAAAGUUAAGAAAUAUUGAGCCUGGUCAGUACCUAGAUGGGUGACUGCUUGGGAAUACCAGGUGCUGUAUG